Molecule: long non-coding RNA, 11149 nt
Filed under: Gossypium barbadense (sea-island cotton)
Lineage: Eukaryota; Viridiplantae; Streptophyta; Magnoliopsida; Malvales; Malvaceae
Description: long non-coding RNA (GBAR_LNC012789)
Source: RNAcentral
AUUUAUUUCAAACGUUUUCUUUUUGUUCUCUUUCCUCUAUCAUCACCUUCCUUUUACCAUGUCUAUCUCUUCCCUCAUCUCUGCAAAUCAAAGCUUUUUCUUCUUUUCUAAGUUUAUCAACCACAGCCGUGUCCACCGUUUUUCGCCAGAUCUGACCUGUAUCCCGUGUCAGAAUCUGUGUCGGAUCGUGUCGACACGGGUACGGCACCCCAAACAGCCGAGUCCGGGUAACGAAGGUUGCGUUUAAAGUGAGUAUAUUGUCCUGCAAUGAAAGGUAUAUCAUGUUAUGUAUGCAUAUAAAGCAAUAUAAUAAUGCCAUGAGUCAAUUAAGUAUGUAUAUUAAAUGUGUACAAUAUGUGACAUUAAUGCAGGGGAAAUUUAUUUUCAAGCAUAGAAGGGUCCUGUUUGAGUCGUUUUAAUGAAUUUGAAUAGGAUAAGACUUAAGAGUAGGCCCUGUUUUAUUUUCUAUGUUAAAAUUUUAGUAGAGAGCUUUAGAUAUAAUUGCUUUUAGGGAAAUACAUUGCUGAAACGUGGCAGGAAAAUAAGGGGAGUACUUAUGAUGUUAGUAGUCAUAAGAAAUGGUAGUAACAAAAUUAAUGUAAAAAGAUAUAAUGGUAAGUUAAUAUAAAAUCGAAGCUAUUAGUUAAGUUUUAGGAAGCAGACCUGGGCAAUGGUAGGCUGAAUGCUAAGUAAUUCAGCUAUAGUUGCAGGUUGUUUUGGCCUUUGUUGAGAAGGCGCUUGUUAGUGAUGUUCUUGUGGAAGAAUUUCCAGUUCAACGGGAUCAUCUUCGAAACUAAUUUGAACAUGGCAAGGUAAACAAAUAAAUAACCAUGUAUAUGAGGUAAAGUAAUCUAUAAAUUAUUUGUUCAAAGAUAUACCAUUGUUUUGAACUCAAAUACUUGAGGAAUAUCGAGGUCCAAGUAAAUUUUGGUGGCUGAGUUCGAAGCAAGGUAUAUGUUACCUAUGUUUGUUGAAUAAUUUGUUAGCGCAUAAAAGGAAGAAGAGGUUAAAUUUCUUUUUUGAAGAGUAGAUUUGGUUAAUUAGACGUACCCAUGUAUUUUCAUUGCAUGUGCGAUGUCACUGGUCCUGUUUACUCAUACUAAGCAAUACUAAACAAGUAAAGAAUAUUAAAGAGAAGUUUUAUGUGAAAACCAUCUGUUUUGAACGUACAAUUGAGUUUGCAUUUAUACAAGAUAUCAAUGGCUGCUAAGCUAGCUGCUAACAAAAUAACUUCUUUAUUGCUCUUUAACUGACUAAUUACUUCAACUAAUUACUUAAUUGCUACUAUACUAUCAUUCUCCCGGUUUCUUAUCUUGUGUUGGUUGUUUGAUGGGCGGUUGCUCAGAGGAAGAACUCAUAAGGCAUCUUGGAAGAAAGAAAAUUGCUUUGGAGUGAUAGGUUUGGUGAGUACAUAUGCAAUUUGACUUGCUGAGGGAACAAAAUUGACCUGUAAAACACCAUCACGAACUUUCUCUCGUACACAAUGAUGAUCAAUCUCCACGUGUUUAACCUUAGCAUGAUGAGUCGGGUUGGUUGUCAUUGAUAUUGUGGAGGUGUUGACACACCACACUAUUGGAGUAUGUUGUAGAUGAACACCACCUUUAGUCAAUGGUUGUUUCACCCACAAUAAUUUAGAAACAUGAUUUGCAAGACUGUGAUAUUUUGCUUCUAAUGAAGAUCUAGAAACAACUUACUUUUUGGAACACUAUGCAAUUGGAUUAGGGUCAUGAUCCAAAGUUCCAUUGAGGUAUCGUAACACACGUUUCACUGCUUGCCAAUGAGUUUCAUGCGGAGCAUUCAUGUACUAACUCAAUUUGUUAACACAAAAGGCUAUGUAUGGUCAUGUAUUGCAGACAUACUGCAAGGUUCCAAUGAUGUUGCGAUACAAAUGACUAUUAGGAAACGAACUGCCAUCUAUUGUAGUUAAUUUAGGCGUUCCUACCAUCGGUGUUGAUGUGGGUGAUGCUUCAUCCAUACCUGCCUUAUAAAGUAACUUCAGAAUAUAUAAUUUUUUUAGUGAGAUAUAUCCCAUGUUGCAGAUGAUGAACUUCAAUACCAAGGAAAAAGUGAAGAUUUCUCAUGUUUUUGAGAGAAAAUUUGCUAUGUAGCUGAUGAACAACUUUAUCAAUUUCUCUGGAGGAGCUUUCUGAAAUGAUAGUAUAAUCCACAUAGAAAUAAUGAAGAUUCACCGUUUGAUCGAAUAAGCAUUGAAGAGUCAGCUUUAAAUGUUUGAAAACCAAGCUAUCUAACCAAAUGCUCUCUCAACGUAUAAAACCAUGCUUGAGGUGUCCAUUUGAGGCAAUAUAAAGAUUUAACUUGUACACAACCUGAUUGCCAGUGAUAUUUGUAGUUUCAAACCCUAGUGGUUGAUUUAUAUAGAUUUCUUCAGUCAAUGUACCAUUAAGGAAGACAUUGUUGACAUCCAUUUGUUUAAUUGUCUAUCUAUUCAUAACAAUAAUAGAAAGAAGAACCCUAAUAGUUGUAGCCCAAACUACUGGACUAAAUAUAUCACAAAAGUUUAACCCAACAUGUUGAGAAAAACCUUUAGCAAUGAGCCUUGCUUUGUAUUUGUCUAUUGUCCUAUCAAAUUUCUUUUUUAUUUUGAAAAGCCAUUUGCAGCCAAUUGAUCUCCUAAAAGGGGGGAGAGCAUAGAGGGUCCAAGUAUUGUUUUUGAUGAGAGUUCCCAGCUCAUUUUGGGCAGUAUCCGCCAAUGAGGGUGAAUCAUUGCCUCAUAGACAUUAAUAGGUGCAGUGUCAGGCAACUGAGUUACCUUGGAAUGAUAUAUUUUGGGUUUGAAUGUACCUACUUUGUUACGAGUUACCAUAAGGUGAGUAUUGACUAUAUUGUAGGAGAAUUGACUGGGCGUAAAAGUGUCAAUUGGACAAGGUUGACUUGACUCAAAAGAAAGAAUAGUCUCAAUAGGGUUGGAAGUAGGUAAUGGUGAGGUAGACAUUGAACUAGGCGACUCACUUGAUAGGGGUUGUUAUUGACCUGGAUUUGGAGACUAUCGAUAAGUUGGAUGUGGUUGUGAAGGAUGUGGAAAAAUUACUAACUUUAAGCUUGUUGUAGGACAUAGUGAGUUGCUAGUGGAUGAUUUUGGAUAGGUUGAGCUAGUUCAGAAUAAAAACUCAUUUUCAUGAAAAGUGACAUGUAUUGAUAUAUAAAUUCGGCCUGAAGAAUCUCUACGCUUAUAGCCUUUAUGUUGAGAGGAAUAUCCUAAAAAAAUUAAGGAAGGGGUCUGAAUUGUAAUUUGUUGGUGUUGUAUAGGAAAGUAUAAGUAGCCAAAGACUUUAAGAAACAAGUAGUUGGGUUUACUUUGAAAUAGUCUUUCAUAAGGAAAGACAUUACCUAUAGGCUAAAAAGUUAAUCGAUUUACCAAGAACAUUGCACCGUUGAAUGUUUCAUGCCAAUAGUAUAAGGGCAAUGAUGCAUGGGCAAGCAUGGAGAGGCUUGUUGCUACAAUCUUAUUUUGUUUAGACAUUGGGGACAUGUGACUCUAUGAAUAAUCCUUUUUUGAGUUAGAAACCACCUUAAUGCUUGAAAAUCUCUUCCUCCAUCAAUUUGAAUAGCCUUGAGUUUAUUACCAAUGCAUCUCUCAGCUUGUUAAAGGAACUAAAAAAACACAAUUUCCAUAUUUGACUUUUUCUUUAAAAAAUAAAUCCAAGUGUAUUGUGUAUAAGCAUCUGUGAAGGCUACAUAGUAAGCAAAAUCGUUCAAGUGAACUGUAGCAGGUCCCAAACAUUAGCAGCCACCAUUUAAAGUGGAGAAAUAUAUGUAAAGGCAAUAGUAAAGAAUGGAUGUUUAUGUUCUUUUGCCAAAUGACAAGACACACAAGUAAUAGUUUUAUUAUCAGAGAAUGAUACAUUAUAGUGACCCAAGGCUUUCUUUAGUGUAGCCAAACAAGGAUGGACUAAUCUAUAGUGUUAUACAUUCAAAGAUAUAGUUCUAUCAACAGUAAAACAUUGAGUUGAUUUAUUAGUUAUCAAAUGCUUUGAGGUAGUACAUAGAUUCAACUUGUAAAGGCUAUUUUGAACCGACCCUUGCAACAACACUUCUCUUAUUUUUAAGUCACGAACUUGACACCUGUUGGGAAAGAACUCUAAAUAGAACAUGAUUGUCCUUUUUAAAAUUGGACACAGACAUCAUGUUUUUAGUGAUGUUAGGUACAAAUAAGAGAGAUCAUAUGUAUAGUGAGUGAGACCAAGUGAGUAAGGAUGAUUGACUAGUGCAAAUAAUGGGUAAGGCAACACCAUUACCCACAUAGACCAUACUUAAGCCACUAUACGGAGUGCUUUCACUCAUUGAUGCAGUAGAAUAAGUAAGAUGAUGAGUAGCACCAAAAUUUGGAUAUUAGGCAUUGUCUCUUACAAUGUUCAAAGUUGCUAUAUAAGAUUGAAAGUUGAAGGGUGCCAUACGAACAUUUAUAGGUUGUGGUGACAGGUGAAAAUGGAAGGUGCCCAAUUCGAAGAUAUUGGAGGAGGGAAAACCCAACUUCCUUGAGAGUUCAAUACAAAAGAAAAUAGAGACAUAGGUGAGCUGGACUGAGGCAACCAAGGAGAAAUGGGAACCCUAUUGCCAAACAUACACAUGUUGGCUUGUGGAGGAGGUCGAUAUGUUUUGACUUUUAUAGUUUGUAUCAAAUCGGUGAUAAUAAUGAUCUAUAAGAUAAUCGGUCUUCCCACAUAGUUGACAUUGAAUACGCGAGCUAAAUGAGUGGCCACAUCCACGACCUUAUGCAAGUGUUGAGGGGAGACGAUACGAAGGUUGUUGAGAACUGUCAGUGGAGUUAAUUGGACGAUUUGUAACUAUAUUAGCUGAACUGGACACAUCAACCAGUGUCGCUUGUAAUCUUGCUUCAGCAUCGAGAAGCAUGGUUGUUAUUGCCUGAACACCAUACGAGACUUGGUUUGUUGUGAUGACUGUUACAACUGUCUCAUAUUUAGAAGAAAACUCAUUUAGAAUACAAGAGACAUGUUCUUGUUCACCGAUUAUUUCACCAUAGCUAACAAGAUUAUCACAACAAUUCUUUAUUUUCAUUGAGAAUGAAGCGCACGUCUAUAAAACAUUAACCUAGAUGUGGUUUUGUUGCUAUACAUGUUAGCAAGAGUAUUCUAAAUUUGAAAACUUAAAUCCAUACCUAUAAGAUAAGGAAGAACACUUUGACUAACAGAAGAAAGAAGCCAAGAAGCAAGUGUAUUGUCUUACUGUUCAUAUCGAACAAAUUUUGGAUUUUCAUGAGAAAUACCAUUAUCAUCAGUAACUAGCAUAGGAGGAGGAACUAUACGACUAUCAAGAAACUGUUUUCUUGUGAGUCUUAAUGGCAAGAAGCACUUGUGUUCGCCAUAACAAAUAAUUAGAAUCAUCAAUAAUUAUAGUAAUCUUCUUGGUUGAGAAGAAAUUACUGUAAAAAACGCAUUCAAAAAAAUUGGAAGUCAUUGUUUGGAUUGCAGGAAAAGUCACAGUAAAGCUGGUAAACGCCAUGAACAGGACUUCACAGGAUCAAUCUGCAAAAAUAAAAAUGUUUGAUACCAUGUUUAACUAUACUAAGCAAGACUAAACAAGUAAAGAAUAUUAAAGAGAAGUUUUAUAUGAAAGCAUCUAUUUAGAACAUACACUUGAGUUUGUAUUAGUGGCUGCUAACAAACUAACUUAUUUACUGCUCUUUAACUGACUAACUGCUUCAACUAAUUACUCAACUGCUACUAUACUAAUAGGUCCAAGGUUGAUAGUCAUUGAUAUAUUAGGUAGGAUGAUAAGUAGAAUGUUUGUCGAUUGUUUUAAUGAAAUGUUAAUUUUGAUUUUGUUUCCAUGAUACCUUUCUUCUUGAAUGAAGAUGUUGCGUUUCUUUACGUAUUUGGCUCUACUACUUAGUCUGAUUUUAGUGAUAGGAUGAAAUUAUCCCAAUUACAUCUACAUAAAAUAAUAGAUAUAUUGUUAUAGUGAAAAGAAUAGACAAAGGUUUUGAAGCAUACCUGUUAAGUACUUGUCAUGUUUAAUCUGUUGGUACAAAAGGUUAUGAGGUAUGAAAUGGAAGUAAUCCUCGAGGAUACGGAGUUGGAUCUUCAUAAAGUUAAUGAAUUUGGAUUGCUCUAGUUAGGCAUAUAAUAUAAUCUCUAGGCAUAACAUUGUAGUUGAACUUGUGUAUGUCAAAAUUAAAAUAUAUAGAUUAAAUCUCAAAUUUAAACAAAACAUAGAGACCAAAUUGAAAUUUAAACAUUCUUAUAAUCUAAAAAGUGAAGGGGUUGAAAUUGAAAUUUAUCCAUAAUAUUCUUGUGUAAAAAAAGAUAGACAUGCACAUUGAAGCCUAAAGGCUUUAGGGGAAACAUUAGUAAUUACCUGUGUUUGGCCUGCAUACACAUAGUGAAGAAGCAAAAUGAAGAGUUGGAUAUGCUAACUUGUUGUAGCUGAAUGACAUCUUCAUAUGAUGAGCUCAGAGUAAAGUUCCUUGAUGCUUGCAAUAAAACUUUAUGAGUAGGACAGGCUUUUCCUCACCAACAAUGAAUAGCAUAUUAGAUAAUUCCCAACUCUCAAGAAAAUUCUCAAGCCCUUCAUUUGUCAUAGCUUGCUUGCCCAUUUUCCAAUUCCACAUCACCGUUGCCAUUGUAUUCAUCGUUAACUUGCUUCCACAGCGACAAAUGAUUUUGAGUCAAGGACAUGUUAACAUUCUUAUAGCUAACAUGUUUAUCUCAACUACUAGAGCCAACAUAUUGAACAUUGCAAUUUGGAUUUGUAUUUAGCCACUCAAACACUAUUCUAAAAUAGGUAUCUUUGUUUACCAAUGCUAAUCAACCCAUCAUAGGUAUUGAUCUAAUAGCCCUGAAAUGCAAAAGAACUACAUAAACCAAUACCUUCAACAUCAACCACAGUUUUCCCAUUUGCCUCAAUUUUCAACCUAUUGUUCUUAUGGCUACCAAUGAUUAUAGUAUAAUGACGACUGUUAUUGAUAGCAAGUUAAUUUUGUACGUUUAAUUUACUUAUUUUUUUGUCAAAUCUUGAAUAGAAUGCUAUUAAGCUGGUAAUUGCUUAUUUAAAAUUUAUCAAGACGUAAUUAGAAUGUUGAAGUUAAAAAAAUCAAGCAAAUUGAGCUAAAUUGAAACAAAAAGAAAGGAAAUAGGCCAAAUUGAAAAGUUGCAGAAUUGUAGACUAAUGAACAAAAAUUAGAUUUUGAUGUUAAAUCUUAUAAUUAGAAAAAUAUUUGAUUUUUUGUUGGAUGCUAAACAUAAAUAUAAGAGGAAGUCAUGCUAAAAUUAGCUUUUGAGAGGUGUAUAAAAUCCUUGUAAUUUUAGUUUGCAAACACACAAACUUGAGACCUAAAUUCAAAACAAAAUUUUUCUUUUCUUACGUCAAUAGCUUGUCAAAGCAUUUUGUCAAUUCCUUUCUUUUUCUUAUUUUUGUACAAUUCCUCUUUAAGUCCCCUCCCUUUCUCACCUAUCAACAUUACAUUACAAUUCAUUUUUAUAAUCUUACAAAGCAUGAUUAAUAUCAUACUUAAUUAAUCUUCAUUUAGUUUUAGUCUAGUCAUCAUUUCGAUCAAGAAUUGUGACAAAUGAAUCUACAUUUAAAUUUUACAACAUGGUAUUCAUUAUUUUUUUAGAAUAUAGGAUAGUUAUAUUCUUUCUUCAAAAUCAAUCCAAUUUCAGUUCAAAGUGUACGUUGGGAGGAAGUUUUUUUGGCGUAUAAUUGGGAAAGAGAGUAGGUCAUCUACCGUGUUCGAGUUUUCGCGAACAAAUUGACAUGUCUAAUUAGAAAAAGCUAUUUAAUUUGAGAUAGUUAUCGAAUUUAAACGACCCACGCGGUUCAGGCCGUUAAUUUGAGUUGGGCUCUUCUAGAUCAUAAAAUUAUCGAGAUCAUAAGUGGCGAAGGUGUGUUACGUGGUUAGAUAACAGGUAAGGGUUGGUUUGCAGGUCGUAUCGGAACCAACUACAUAAGGAAGAGUUGGUGGUUGAGAUAUCUUUGAUUGUUAUAACUGGUUUAUCGUUUGAAAGUAAAAUCCACUUUAGAGAAUCAAUUCUAGUUCGUAGUGUAUCGAGGCUAAGGUUAAGUAUUCACAUAUUUGAUUUAUAAAUUUAAUUUAAAUUACUUAAUUUUAUUUUGCAAUUAUCAUUCUGCUAUUAUUACGUUCUAUUCAUUUUUAUUUUCCUCUAUCUACUAAAAUCUAUUUUUAUUUUUUUUUAACUUUGCACAUACAAGUCUUGGGCACGACAAUUGCCUAGGCUGAAGAAUCUGGUCACAUAACACGAAAAUUAGGAGUCUUAGUCCCUGUGUGAUUGACCUUACUUCUCUAUACUACUAUUUGAUUUAGUUGGAGCUUAGGAAAUUUAUAUUUGAUGGUUUCGACGCCUAUCAAAUUUUGGCAUCGUUUACAGGGCUUAGAAAUAAUUUUAAUUUUUUAUUUUUUUUACUUAUGACCAUAUUAGAAUUGGGGACUGUAGAGUUUAAAUAAAAAAUUAAGAAAUUAGCUCGAUCAUUGUGAAAAGAAGUUAUUAGAUGUGAAAAACAAUUAAAAGAAUUUGAAUACGAAACACUAUCUUACAUAAAAAAAAUUGACAAUGAACCAGAAGAAAUGAUGAACCAAACUAUUCGAUAGCUCGUUGCGGCAUCGAAUGAGCAACAACUGCUGUGCAUAACUUAUCCGACAGGAGGAACAACAUUUGAAUUAAAAUUUGGCUUAUUUAUUUAUUUUUCGCUUUCUGUGAUUUGCAAAAUGAGAACCCUCACUCGUCUUAAGGAGUUCCACAUGAUUUGCCUAAGCAUGAAACCUUAAAGAGUAAUCGAAGAUCAAAUUAAACUUUAGGUUUUUUUCCUUUCUCGCUAGUCGACUCUACUAGAGAACGGUUGUUUUAUUUACCUUCAGAAUUAGUUAAUAGAUUAUUUAACAUUUAUUAGUUGUUUCUUGACAGGUUCUUUCCAACAGCUCAGGUAGCUGAAUUAAGGAGAGAUAUUAUCGGAAUAUGACAAUAGACAACCGAAUCACUCUAUGACUACUAAGAGCGAUACAAGAAAUUGUGUGCAAGUUUCCUACAACAUUGCCUAAUUGAACAAUCACUUCUUCAAUAUUUCUAUGAGGAAUUACUCCUUAUGGAAAUGAAGAUCAUUGAUGCUACCAGUGGAGGAGCACUUGUUAACAUGACUCCUUAAGGAGCAAUGAAAUUAAUUUCAACCAUUAAUGCAAAUUCCCAAUAAUUUCGACCAACUACAAAACCUAAAGAUUGGUUUAUAAGCUAAGUACUUUAUCCUUAGAAGAUAAAAUUAACAAGUUCACUAAUGUAGUUAAAAAUUUACUUGAAAGAAAAAUGAACCCAGCUCGAUUUUGCGAUAUUUGUGCCAUACAUGAUCAUCCAAUAGACUCGUGUCUGAUUUUAUAAAAAGAUACAACAGCACGUGUAGAUGCCUUUGAAAACUUCUUAGGGCCACCCGAAAUGCGUUAUAAUCCAUUUUCAAAUACUUACAAUGCGGGGUGGAGAGAUUACCUAAAUUUGAGUUAUGGAUCGAAUCCUCAGUACAACCAAUCGUAUCAACUAAGGCCUUUCCGACUUAACAAAUUUAACCCCCAAAGAUAUCUCUUGAGACUAUAGUAGAGACAUUAGCUGCUAGUAUCGAAAAGUUCCAACAAAAGAUUGAAGCACACCUAUAAAAAAUAAAUCAGCAAAUAAGUAAGCUUGCGCUUACGAUUAGUCGUUUGGAGCCCUAGGAAAAGUUGUCUUAAACAAAGCCAAAUCCACGACAAAAUUUAAGUGUUAUAACCUUAAAAAGUAAAACAAUUUUGGGGCCAACACCUGGCACAAAUUGUGACCACAAAACUAGACAGAAAUAACAUAAACAUGAUCCAACAAUUACUACGAAGCUAGCUCUACAGAAACCAUUUGCAGUACCACCCAUAUUUCUUGGAAUGUUGGCCCGAUAUAAAAAGGAGUGAAAAGAAAAAAGAAAUAAUAGAGACAUUUUAGAGAGUUCAAAUUAUCAUAGCCCUGCUCGAUGCAAUAAAUAAAGUUCCAUGCUAUGUAAAAUUCUUAAAAGAAUUAUGCAUUAGAAAGAAGAAGCUCAUGAGUAACAAAAUAGUAGGUGUUGGAGAAAACGUCUCUGCAGUUUUACAAAAGAAAAUUUUACCUAAGUGUAAGGAUCAAUGUAUAUAUGUUAUAUCUUGCAAAAUAGGUAAUGUUGGCAUUAAUGAGGCUAUGUUUGAUUUAGGUGCAUGUGUUAACAUUAUGCCUUUAUCUAUUUUUAAAUUACUAAACAUUGGUCCUUGGAAAGAAACAAGGGUGAUAAUCCGAUUAGCGUAAAUGUUAGUUGUGUAUCUAGAAGGGGUGUUGGAAAAUGUCUUCGUCAAAGUGAAUGAACUAAUCUUUUCUACAAAUUUUUACAUUAUUGACAUGGAGGAUGACAACUCGACAAAUUUUUCUGAUGUUCUACUCAGGAGACCAUUUUUAAGCAUCGUAUAAACAAAAAAUUGAUGUUCAGAGUAAAACAACUUACCAUGAAAAUUGACAGUUAAAUAGUUAAGUUCAAUGUUUAUGAGAACAUGGGUCGUCCUAGUGCAAUUACAAACGUCUCUAAUGUUAAUAUAAUUGAACUGUUGAUAAACUUUCAUUUUAAAUUUCACAAAGAGGAUGAAUUACAAAUUGUGUUGUGCAAGAAUGUAAAUCUCGAUUCUAUGGAAAAACAUUAAGAAUUAUUAAUGAUCAAAAGAACCAAUAAGUGAAGUUGUCAUUCGCAUGGAGGCCCCGGAAUUGGAGCUCAAAUCGUUAUUGGAAUAUUUAAGAAUUCCGAUACAAGAAAAGGCAAACCCGAACUGAGAAGCUCAAAGUUGCCUCAAUCCAUCGAUAAUGAAAGAAUCCAAAAAGUGCUUCAAAGUCAAUUGGUAAAGUUUGAAACAUUUCUACAAGAACUUCCAAAUGCACGUAAUGGAAGAAUUAAUUCUUAAAGAUUCAAAUGGAUAACAUUUUCAAGUCGUCGAGCUAACGACGUUAAACAAAAAUGCUUUUUGCAAGGCAACCAAUAUUUAUUUACUUUAUUUUAAUUCAGUUUAAUUUAUGUUGAAAAUAAAUAAAAAUUAUUAUUUAAUCUAUUUUAAUGUGUUGUUUUCUAGGAGACACAAUAGAGGCUCAAAUCUCAAAUAUCCUCGUUAUAUUGUGAGGUGAUCAUAUCCACC